AUUGAACGCUGGCGGCAUGCCUUACACAUGCAAGUCGAACGGUAACGGGCCUUCGGGUGCCGACGAGUGGCGAACGGGUGAGUAAUGCAUCGGAACGUACCUUUCAGUGGGGGAUAACGUAGCGAAAGUUACGCUAAUACCGCAUAUUCUGUGAGCAGGAAAGCAGGGGAUCGCAAGACCUUGCGCUGAUUGAGCGGCCGAUGUCAGAUUAGCUAGUUGGUGAGGUAAAGGCUCACCAAGGCGACGAUCUGUAGCGGGUCUGAGAGGAUGAUCCGCCACACUGGAACUGAGACACGGUCCAGACUCCUACGGGAGGCAGCAGUGGGGAAUUUUGGACAAUGGGGCGAACCCUGAUCCAGCCAUGCCGCGUGAGUGAAGAAGGCCUCGG
RNAcentral lists this ribosomal RNA (388 nucleotides) under uncultured bacterium. RNAcentral describes it as "bacterial SSU rRNA". It matches the Rfam family "Bacterial small subunit ribosomal RNA", at positions 30 to 420 of the family's 1533-position model. The record is from RNAcentral.